RNAcentral lists this unclassified non-coding RNA (244 nucleotides) under Hevea brasiliensis (rubber tree). Lineage: Eukaryota; Viridiplantae; Streptophyta; Magnoliopsida; Malpighiales; Euphorbiaceae. The record is from RNAcentral.
CAGGGAGCAUCAGUGUAAUGCUGAGAUAAAUGCUUAAUAAGCUCGCCUUGGUGCUGGAGUAGAAGAAAUUUUGAUCCAAGCAGAGCAGCGCAUGGGUUCAAGGCAUAGCAUUACUACUUUCUCAUGCUUUUGAAUCUUUCUUGCAGCUUAUAUUACUCUCGCUUGCUAUGAGCCAAUGGAUCCAGCACUCCGGUAGGUAUCUUGAAUACCUUAAAAGUGUGACGUUGAUUAUUUUGGACUCGGG